UCUCCGAUGGCCAAGUGGUAAGGCAGUCGGCUGUUAACCGACAGAGCGCUGGUUCGAUCCCAGCUCGGAGAGC
RNAcentral lists this transfer RNA (73 nucleotides) under Streptomyces phage FlowerPower. RNAcentral describes it as "tRNA-Asn". It matches the Rfam family "tRNA". Rfam says of the family: Transfer RNA (tRNA) molecules are approximately 80 nucleotides in length. Their secondary structure includes four short double-helical elements and three loops (D, anti-codon, and T loops). Lineage: Duplodnaviria; Heunggongvirae; Uroviricota; Caudoviricetes. RNAcentral also lists the same sequence under 5 other names. The record is from RNAcentral.